GCGAGGAUGGCACAAUGGUACUGCGUUCGCCUGCAGAGCGAAUUUUCCCGGGUUCGAUUCCCGGUCCUCGCU
This 72-nucleotide transfer RNA is filed under the name Candidatus Pacearchaeota archaeon. RNAcentral describes it as "tRNA-Cys". It matches the Rfam family "tRNA". From Rfam's summary of the family: Transfer RNA (tRNA) molecules are approximately 80 nucleotides in length. The record is from RNAcentral. Lineage: Archaea; Nanobdellati.